CCUACGGGGGGCAGCAGUGAGGAAUAUUGGUCAAUGGACGAGAGUCUGAACCAGCCAAGUAGCGUGAAGGAUGACUGCCCUAUGGGUUGUAAACUUCUUUUAUAUGGGAAUAAAACGUUCCACGUGUGGGAUUUUGUAUGUACCAUAUGAAUAAGGAUCGGCUAACUCCGUGCCAGCAGCCGCGGUAAUACGGAGGAUCCGAGCGUUAUCCGGAUUUAUUGGGUUUAAGGGGGGCGUAGGUGGAUUGUUAAGUCAGUUGUGAAAGUUUGCGGCUCAACCGUAAAAUUGCAGUUGAAACUGGCAGUCUUGAGUACAGUAGAGGUGGGCGGAAUUCGUGGUGUAGCGGUGAAAUGCUUAGAUAUCACGAAGAACUCCGAUUGCGAAGGCAGUUCACUGGACUGCAACUGACACUGAGGCUCGAAAGUGUGGGUAUCAAACAGGAUUAGAUACCCCAGUAGUC
This 460-nucleotide ribosomal RNA is filed under the name uncultured bacterium. Its description in RNAcentral is "partial 16S ribosomal RNA". It matches the Rfam family "Bacterial small subunit ribosomal RNA", at positions 338 to 795 of the family's 1533-position model. The record is from RNAcentral.